UGAUCAAAUUCUUGUUUGUGAUGUAGCCCGACAGGCGAUGCUAGUGGCUUUGCCAGCGUGGAGAAGGCGCAUCCCGGGAGUCUGACGCCCAUGCUCGGCGACAAAAAGGUGGAGCACUUUCUGGGCAUCAAACGAAGCGCCCAGUUCGGAGGCAUGCCGCCUCUGCCGCCAAAGAAGCCUAAGAACUGAGGUUGCAGCGGAGUGGAGUGAACAGGAACCAGCGGCAGCUCUAUAGCGAGUAUGCAAUCUUGGAGCAGAUUAUGAGUCACCGACAUGGACGGAAGGCGCCAAACGUCCUCGGAUGCGCUGAAAUGUACUAAUAACCUGUAAAUUUGCACCCUAAACCGAUUGUUUUGAUGGUGACACACACACAGAGAUGGUGUAACUUGUAACGCAACGAUGUUUCUAUCCAUGCACGCUCUAAAAGUUGCAGAGAGAAGCAUGCUUGCUAACCUUUAUGUGGAAAGUGAUGCAAGUUGUAGCUACGCACUCCUCUGUUCUUAGGAUUUCUUUUCCAUGACAAACAUUACAAUAGCAUGCUUAAUGUUUUUUUUUGA
This is a long non-coding RNA of Triticum dicoccoides, 557 nucleotides long. RefSeq lists it as uncharacterized. The transcript is spliced from 2 exons. The record is from RefSeq and is a predicted model, not a curated record. NCBI's taxonomy places the organism in Eukaryota, Viridiplantae, Streptophyta, Magnoliopsida, Poales, Poaceae.